Molecule: ribosomal RNA, 497 nt
Filed under: uncultured bacterium
Lineage: Bacteria
Description: partial 16S ribosomal RNA
Rfam family: Bacterial small subunit ribosomal RNA
Source: RNAcentral
GAUGAACGCUGGCGGCGUGCCUAAUACAUGCAAGUAGAACGCUGAAGGAAGGAGCUUGCUCUUUCCGGAUGAGUUGCGAACGGGUGAGUAACGCGUAGGUAACCUGCCUGGUAGCGGGGGAUAACUAUUGGAAACGAUAGCUAAUACCGCAUAACAGUAGAUAUUGCAUGAUAUCUGCUUGAAAGGGGCAAUUGCUCCACUACCAGAUGGACCUGCGUUGUAUUAGCUAGUUGGUGAGGUAACGGCUCACCAAGGCGACGAUACAUAGCCGACCUGAGAGGAUGAUCGGCCAGACUGGGACGGAGACACGGCCCAGACGCCUACGGGAGGCAGCAGUAGGGAAUCUUCGGCAAUGGACGGAAGUCUGACCGAGCAACGCCGCGUGAGUGAAGAAGGUUUUCGGAUCGUAAAGCUCUGUUGUAAGAGAAGAACGAGUGUGAGAGUGGAAAGUUCACACUGUGACGGUAUCUUACCAGAAAGGGACGGCUAACUACGUG